This is a long non-coding RNA of Passer domesticus (house sparrow), 1824 nucleotides long. RefSeq lists it as uncharacterized. Lineage: Eukaryota; Metazoa; Chordata; Aves; Passeriformes; Passeridae. The record is from RefSeq and is a predicted model, not a curated record. The transcript is spliced from 5 exons.
AAUUCCCCAUUGGGUUUUAGGAAGAAGUAAUUUGUGGCAAACAAGGAAGACAAACCUGAAUCCUUUGCUGCAUCCUUCCUCCUGUUAAAGAAGAUUUGUGAUUCUACAUCUAAAUCCAAGAACUUUCCAUGUGGCCCUGGAUUCUCUCCACACCCUCCAAGAAGGGGGAUAUCUGAGUGAUUAAAGCAUCUGGGUCAUUCUUCAAGUACCUCUCCAGACCAUGAGUAGAAGGCCAUGCUUCAUCCUCCUGUAAAAGGGUCAUGACUAUUCAGACAAGACUCUCAAAGGCAACCUGAAGAGAUGCUAACCAAAACAUGUGAACAUUUAACACAGCUGAUGCAACUGAUAUCCUGGGCUCCUAGGAAAAGAAAUCCCUGCUGCUGCAGACGUGUUGAAAGGCAGCUGAAAGCACAGUGAGUAGAAGAAGGUAUGGGAGGAAAUCCAGCAGAGGAAAGAGUUGCUGGAAGAAAGCAAAAGCAGAGAUAAUGCCUCUUGCUCAGGAAGUUUUAAAUUGAAAUUUGCUGAAGAUUGACAGUGUUUUGGGGAACUAUUACUCAUGCUUAUACUAUCUUACAUUUUUUGUUAAGCUUUUACUCUUGCUCACCAUCAGAAACACUCUAUUGCACUGCAAAUGCCUUUAGUCUGAUUCUUUAUGGCUUUUUUUAUCAUAACUAAUAGUUUUUUUACUGAAUCUCUCCCAGUCUGAGUGCAUUACUCUUGCAGGAGUUUAACCAGCAUGGCAGUCAGUAUUCCAGCUCAUUUGGGAAAAGAACAGGAGAGCAAAACAUUCUUACAAUUGCCUGUGAACUUAUACACUGAGAGUGGCCUGUGGGAAGUCUGCUCUGCUGUGGAUUUCUGGUCUCUGAGACAUGAGGUCUGAGAGGCUGACUGCAUUCAGGAUACAACACCUUGUAGAGGGAGUGCUGUGAUAUGUUGAAAAAAAUCGUUCAGGCAUAAGAGGAGAGAAAGAAGUUGUAAAAGUUAAAGCAAGAUCCUCGAGGAGCAUCAGCACUGCCAGCAUCUGUGAGUUCAGUGCGUAGCCUCUUUUCUCAGCACAUUUGCUUUGGGCAAAAAUAUAAUAAUAAUUCAUCAGCUGAAGUAGGGGCUGUAGUUUGGUUUUGAAUCCUGCUCUCCUGGCACCAACAGCAUUUUCACAUGGGCUGAAGCUCUUAUGGCUGUUUUCAUCCAACGUGGUCGAGCAGGCUAAAAGGAAGAGAAAUGCAGCUGAAUUCUGAGGGAUCAGGUUCUACCCACCUCUAACAUAUUAUUUAACUUUUCAUCCUUUAAGUAGUCUUAUUGAUUUCAGUGGAAGAAUUUGUUACUGCAGAAUGUGAAUAAGAUGUCAGAAUUUCACCCUAAAUAUUUCACUUUACAAAGGAAGCCAUGAUGCAGAAGAAAACACACCCUGGGCUGCAGCAGGAUUCAAAAUUUGCAGUUACAAUAAAAGCUGGGAAGCCUUUUUCUUCUUUGUGAUGGUGGCCUCCUAUUGAAAGUGUCUAAUAAACAGAACCACUUCUGUGUGAAUUAAAUGAAAGAUGCUCAUAUACAAACUGAGAGUCUUCUAAUCCCUACAGCACCACAAAUAAUUCAAAGAAGUUUUGAAGUGCCACGAUAAUGGCACAAGAUGGUUAUCUCUGUAUUAUUGGUUUUGUGUACAUCAAAGAAGGCUCAGUGGGAAAAAAUAAUGUUGCGUAAAAAAAUCCUAAACACAUUUCUUUUAAGAAAAAGCAGACAAUUAAAAUUAUCCAGAAGUUAAGAAAAAUAUGAACUAAAAAUAUUUUGCCUUUGAAAGUCUAUAUUACCCUUAAACAAUUUUAUGGUGGA